CGCGGUUAUUCCAAGUGUAAUAAGAUCAUAUCUGGAGGGAAAAAGACAGUUAGGUUUGAUGUAUAAAUUUAGUCUAUUAACCACCUAUAAAAAAGUAAAAUUUGUAUAUAGGUAGCUAAUCUAGAAAUGGCUAUAAUGAUGCUGAAGCUGUGAUAGUCUUGAGGGAAACUGGGAUUAGAUACCCCAUUAUUCUUGACUGUAAAUAUAAUCAAAUUUACCAGAGUACUAUGAACAGUUAAAAAUUUAAAACUCAAAGGGCUUGGCGGUGUUUUAGACCCAUCAGGGGAACCUGUCUCGUAAUCGACAAUCCACGUUAUAUCUGACCUCACUUUGUAUUCAGUUUGUAUACCGUCGUCGUCAGGUAACUUUUAAAAAUAUAGAAGUUAGCAAUAAAAAUUAUUUAAAUUAAGACGUCAGAUCAAGGUGCAGCCUAUAAUGAGGGGAGGAUGGGUUACAAUUAUUAAAUUUAUAAUUACGGAAAUUUAAAUGAAAAUAUAUUUAGAAGGAGGACUUGAAAGUAAACUAAAAUACAUAAAUAGUUUGAAUUAGGCUCUG
RNAcentral lists this ribosomal RNA (555 nucleotides) under Tritia mutabilis (mutable nassa). RNAcentral describes it as "partial 12S ribosomal RNA". Lineage: Eukaryota; Metazoa; Mollusca; Gastropoda; Neogastropoda; Nassariidae. The record is from RNAcentral.